Lycium barbarum (goji berry) is the source of this 1437-nucleotide long non-coding RNA. RefSeq lists it as uncharacterized. The record is from RefSeq and is a predicted model, not a curated record. Lineage: Eukaryota; Viridiplantae; Streptophyta; Magnoliopsida; Solanales; Solanaceae. The transcript has 4 exons.
AUAAAAAACAAAACAAUUUAUUUUUGUAGAUAGAUAGACCCAAAUCUGUCUUUUAGAUUGCAUAUAUAGCGUAGGAGCAUUACUUCAGCACAAUACAAAGCAUAGAUUUUUCUUGAUUUCAAUUACAACUUCUGAAUUCUUUAAUCUCUGGACCACAAUUCUUAUUAACGCUCUUUCUUUGUCUCUGUCAAAUUGCUUUUUGUUCAUCUCUAUGCCGCAAAGAUCAAAGCAAUGCCCUUCUAAAGUUUAAGAAUAUGCUUACUGUUGAUCCCUCAUAUAAUAUUUGUCCAGAAUCUUAUCCAAAGACGAGUUCAUGAAAAAUGAGCAGAGAUUGUUGUGUAUGGGAUGGAGUAAUAUGUGAUGAGUUCACAAACCAUGUGAUUGAGCUUGACCUCAGUUGCAGCCAUCUUGUUGGGACGAUUGAUUCCAAUAGCACCCUCUUCCAUCUCUCUCAUCUCCAGGCUUAACCUUUCUUGAAAUUAUUUGCACAAUUCUCGCAUCUCACCUAAAUUUGACAGGUUUUCGAGCUUGACACAUCUUGAUCUUUCUCACUCAUAUUUUUCAGGUCAAGUUUCUUCUGAAAUCUCUCAUCUUUCCAAAUUACUAUUUCUUCGUCUCACUGAUGUUGAUCUAAGACUCGCAGCUCAUGAUUUUAUAUUGUUCCUCCAGAAUUUGACUCAAUUAAGAGAGCUUGAUCUUAGAAAUGUGAACAUCUCUUCCACCAUUCCUCUGAAUUUAUCUUCUCAUAUAACAACUCUGAGGCUUGAUAACACAAGAUUGCAUGGGAUAUUACCUGAGAGUAUUUUUCACUUUCAAAACUUGAGAAUUCUUACCUUACAUGCCAAUGAUCAACUCAUUAAUUAUUUCCAAAUAUCAAAUGGAACAGCAAUGCAUCAGUCAUGAAGUUGGAUUUCUCUAGUGAAAUUUUCUGGACAAUCAUCUGCAAGGCCAACAGCCGCUAGCUCGUGAGAAUUUAUGGGUUUAAGUCUCGAAAAGUGAACAAUGAAAAAGAUAAAAAAUGGAGCAAGAGAGAAUCCAUCGCUUUUAUAUUCAAAGAGCUAUAAUUUGUCGAUUGCAACAACAAAGCGAUGUUAUGGGGAGAAGAUCUUUUUAAGAAGUUUAAAAAGUCUAUAGGCAGAUUUGUGGAAUGAGAGCAUAUGAGUGACAAACUAAGACAGAUGUUGAUCAAGCUAAGGUGCGGUUGAAGACCAUGGAAAGAGAGAAAGGGGAAGACUAUACAGCUUUGGACUCAAACAAGAUUGUGUCAAACAAAAAUUGUGUAUUAUUACUAUAUUGAAAUUGAAAAAUACAACUAUCAGUACCUUUUUUGUUUAGAUCAAGUACAAUUAUUUGUAACUUGAAACGUGUUUUGGAGUAAAAAAAAAAGAAUUUGUUUAUAAAAUUCUUGUCACCAACAAUGCUUGUGGAAAACUUAAU